RNAcentral lists this long non-coding RNA (1183 nucleotides) under Parus major (Great Tit). Its description in RNAcentral is "lncRNA (ENSPMJG00000007378.1)". The record is from RNAcentral. Lineage: Eukaryota; Metazoa; Chordata; Aves; Passeriformes; Paridae.
ACGUGUCGUUCUGUCCGUAACUAACUUUCCAAGUUUCGCAUCCACUGCUCUUGAGAGAGGAUGCUGUGAAACAGAAUACAAAAUGUGUUCCAGCCUGUGCUACCCCCACAACCCAAGAGGAAGCAUCAAAUGAAACACAUUUCUCUUCACACAAGAUGAUUACAAUCUCUCAGCCCGAGAACUGCUCCCUUCUUGCAGGGAAAAGGCAGCAGAUGGUAACCCAUGACGAUCAGUUCCUCAGCAAGACUGCAUUCCCAUCCAAAGAAGACUUGCAAGAAAGAAAUUAUGAAGAAGCACACCAGGAUAAAGACAAGGAAAUAAUGAAGAAAUUUGGUCUUGUUAAAGGUGUAAGAGUUGUUCUCAACAGGCAAAGUGUCUCUGAGCUUAGGAAGUGGACUGCCAAACCUUCUUCAUGUAAAAAGAAAGAUUUCUUUUUAGGGCCAUUAGGACAGAGAACUGAGGAAAGUGCCACACAUACUUAACUCUCUGUACAUAAUAUGGAGCAUACUUCACUUUGAAGUAUUUCUUAUACAGCAUUAGUAUAAUUCUCGAAUAUUUAUGCAUUUAAUCACAUAACAUAAAACACUUUCUCCAAAAACUGCAGAUAAAAUGCCAGCUACUGCUGAAGUCUUUUCUGACUCUGCCUUCUCUUUGGCACUCUUACAGCUGCAACUGAAAGUAGAAAAGGUGCCUGCUGAUCUCUUACUGAUAGCAAUGUUUUGCAGUCUGUCCCUGCCAGUCUGUGUCUCGUAGGCAGAAACAGGAAGCUCUCCACACCCGUGCUAGGCUUUUUCUGGUUUGAGCAUUGCUAUUAAUUUCAAGUGAAGGUGCCAGAAGUGCAAGAUGUGUGUUUAUAGUCAUCGACCUGCUCUGGAGAAAGUCUUGCCCUAUGGCUUUGCUUAUAAGUAUUAUUUGGCAGUUUUGCCUGGUAUCAGAGCCUCUGGGAAUAGGUGUUUGCUUUCUCUAAUCCCUGACAUUUUCAAACUCACAGUUCAGAUUCACCUCUUGUUUCCAUUUUGUAUUUUUCUACAACAAAGCUCUUAAGAUUUCUUCAGCAGGUAGAUUGGACGUGAAUUUCCAGAAUCCUGGAUCAUUUUCAGUAUACCUGUGUUCAAAUUCUUACUCUGCAGAUAAAUUAGUGAUCAAUAAUAAAUCAGUAUUUCUCCUUGAUCUAUUUAUUAUC